Molecule: ribosomal RNA, 253 nt
Filed under: uncultured bacterium
Lineage: Bacteria
Description: partial 16S ribosomal RNA
Rfam family: Bacterial small subunit ribosomal RNA
Source: RNAcentral
UACGUAGGGUGCGAGCGUUGUCCGGAAUUAUUGGGCGUAAAGCGCUCGCAGGUGGUUCGUCGCGUCGUGCGUGAAAGACCCCGGCUCAACUGGGGGGCGUCGUGCGAAACGGGCGGACUGGAGGCCAGUAGGGGGAUGCGGAAUUCCGGGUGUAGUGGUGGAAUGCGUAGAGAUCCGGAGGAACACCAGCGGCGAAGGCGGCAUCCUGGACUGGUCCUGACACUCAUGAGCGAAAGCGUGGGGAGCGAUCCGG